Molecule: unclassified non-coding RNA, 679 nt
Filed under: Hevea brasiliensis (rubber tree)
Lineage: Eukaryota; Viridiplantae; Streptophyta; Magnoliopsida; Malpighiales; Euphorbiaceae
Source: RNAcentral
GCUUUUGAGGAAUUGUCCUCUGCUACUCACUCAAAGAACCUGAGUCAGUUGCAGAGGACAAUUCCUCAAAAGCAAAAUCUACAGAGGGAAGGUAGUAAUGGUCAUCCUCCUGUAGCAUCACCAAAGCAUUUGGCACCUAUGAUGACAUUUUCUCAUGGUGGACCAUCAAUUCCUAAUUCUAUUGGCAAGGCUGCUAACAACUCUCGUGCUCUUCCAAUUGAUUCUUCUAAGCUUUCUCCCCAGCCAAUGCGUACUUUGGAUGUCAAGGCGGAAGAAGAUCAGAAAUUGACAGAACAUUUCAUUCGUCUGCAGAAGUUCCUGAAACAGUGUGAUGAAGCAAACCAAACAGAAUACCUUCAGCUGCUUCUACGUUUGUCACCACCUGAGCUUAGCAGACAUGCCGUUGACUUGGAGAAAAGGGCUAUCCAGUUGACAAUAGAAGAAGGAAAGGAGAUGCAACGAGUGAAGAACCUCAAUGUUUUGGGAAAAUCCACCCUGUUUUCCAGCUUAACUCAGACAGUUCCAUUAGUCCCAAUCAAGAAAUGAUGAAGCUAAUGGCAAUAAUUCAUGUUGCACUGAUGCAAUGCCUGUUUUAAAACUUGUACUCCACUGGGUACAAGAUCUUGAGAGGAGGCUAUUAGGCGUUGGCUUCUUUAGACAUCUAUAGUCUUUUUUUUCU